GAUUCCAAAAGCAUUUUAUCCUUAAUAUCUUCAUGUAAGUUGUUAUUUUAUUUUUUCUAAACGUAGUUGGGUUAAAGAUUUUUUCUUUUAAUAUUUUUUUUAUUCAACUCUUUCUUUCAAUAUCUUUAACUUGUCUUUUACAAUUAUUUCUCUAAUUUGGUGUCGGGAUAACUUAGUACUUCAGAUCCAAAGCAGGUAUUUCUUUUGUUCAUGUUCGGUAUUUUUUUA
This 228-nucleotide long non-coding RNA is filed under the name Linum usitatissimum (flax). RNAcentral's name for it is "long non-coding RNA (LUSI_LNC005243)". The record is from RNAcentral. Lineage: Eukaryota; Viridiplantae; Streptophyta; Magnoliopsida; Malpighiales; Linaceae.